Molecule: ribosomal RNA, 765 nt
Filed under: uncultured bacterium
Lineage: Bacteria
Description: bacterial SSU rRNA
Rfam family: Bacterial small subunit ribosomal RNA
Source: RNAcentral
CGCACGGGUGAGUAACACGUUGGUGACCUGCCCCGAAGCGGGGGACAACCACUGGAAACGGUGGCUAAUACCGCAUGUGCUUAAUCAUUCGUUUGGUUAAGUAAAACUCAGGUGCUUCGGGAGGGGCCUGCGGUCGAUUAGUUAGUUGGUGAGGUAAUGGCUCACCAAGACAGUUAUCGAUAGGGGGCGUGAGAGCGUGACCCCCCACACUGGAACUGAGACACGGUCCAGACUCCUACGGGAGGCAGCAGUGAGGAAUAUUGCACAAUGGGCGCAAGCCUGAUGCAGCAACGCCGCGUGGGGGAUGAAGGCCUUCGGGUCGUAAACCCCUUUUCCAUGGGAAGAGAAAGGACGGUACCAUGGGAAUAAGUCUCGGCUAACUACGUGCCAGCAGCCGCGGUAAAACGUAGGAGGCGAACGUUAUCCGGAAUUACUGGGCGUAAAGCGCGCGCAGGCGGUUUCGUAAGUCCGAUGUGAAAGCUCCCGGCUUAACUGGGAGAGGCCAUUGGAUACUGCGGAGCUUGAGGUUAGGAGAGGAAAGCGGAAUUCCCGGUGUAGUGGUGGAAUGCGUAGAUAUCGGGAGGAACUCCAGAGGCGAAGGCGGCUUUCUGGCCUACACCUGACGCUGAGGCGCGAAAGCGUGGGGAGCGAACAGGAUUAGAUACCCUGGUAGUCCACGCUGUAAACGAUGUGAACUAGGUGUUGGUGGUAUCGACCCAUCAGUGCCGGAGCUAACGCGUUAAGUUCACGCUGGGGACUACGGCG